GGGGAUAUAGCUCAGUGGUAGCGCUGCUUACCUAGCAUGCACAAGCCCUGGAUUCAAACCCCAGUAUCACCA
RNAcentral lists this transfer RNA (72 nucleotides) under Heterocephalus glaber (naked mole-rat). It matches the Rfam family "tRNA". Rfam says of the family: Transfer RNA (tRNA) molecules are approximately 80 nucleotides in length. Their secondary structure includes four short double-helical elements and three loops (D, anti-codon, and T loops). Further hydrogen bonds mediate the characteristic L-shaped molecular structure. tRNAs have two regions of fundamental functional importance: the anti-codon, which is responsible for specific mRNA codon recognition, and the 3' end, to which the tRNAs corresponding amino acid is attached (by aminoacyl-tRNA synthetases). tRNAs cope with the degeneracy of the genetic code in two manners: having more than one tRNA (with a specific anti-codon) for a particular amino acid; and 'wobble' base-pairing, i.e. permitting non-standard base-pairing at the 3rd anti-codon position. Lineage: Eukaryota; Metazoa; Chordata; Mammalia; Rodentia; Bathyergidae. The record is from Rfam by way of RNAcentral.